This 14604-nucleotide long non-coding RNA is filed under the name Populus tremula. Its description in RNAcentral is "long non-coding RNA (PTRE_LNC001714)". The record is from RNAcentral. Lineage: Eukaryota; Viridiplantae; Streptophyta; Magnoliopsida; Malpighiales; Salicaceae.
UUCGCCAUUGCUCCACAUUUGAUGUAUUGACUGCGUUUUUGUGGAGGUGCCGAACCAUUGCACUUCAACCAAACCCAAAUGAUGAGAUGCGGAUACUAUGCAUUGUCAAUGCUCGCAAUAGAUUUAACCCUCCGUUACCUAGAGGUUAUUAUGGAAAUGCCAUAGCACCCUCAGUGGCAAUGGCAACAGCGGGAGAAAUCUCACGAAAUUCUUUAGGCUUUACGUUGGAAUUAGUGAGGAAGGCCAAGCCUAAUGUGACGGAAGAGUACAUGCGAUCAGUGGCUGAUCUGUUGGUGAUUAAAGGUAGACCUCGGUACACAAUGGUGAGGUCUUACCUGGUGUCGGAUUUGACUCGUGCAAUGUUUGCAGAGAUGAACUUAGGUUGGGGUAAGCCGAAGUAUGCGGGCCCUGCUAAGGGUAAUGUGGCAAGCUUUCAGAUACCAUAUAGGACAGAGAAAGGAGAAGAUGGUGUUCUUGUGACUAUUUGCUUACCGACUCCGGCUAUGGAAAGAUUUGCGAAGGAACUGGAUAGCACGUUUAAGGAGCAGUCAAAUGGUGGUGGCAAUGCUAAAUCCCCAUUAUCUUCCUUGUAGGGAAAAUGUCUAUUUUUCCAAAUGAUUUAAAUGCAUUCGUAUUGUGUUCAUUUACUUUGAGUGUUCAUGUGGACAAUCUAUCAGCUUUUUAUAUAUUUAUUUCAAUAAAUGCUUCUGUUGAUUGGUCAUGGACAUAUAACAAGGCCUUAUGCUGGACUUGCUUGAAGAGAAGAGGCAUGGAACUUGUGUGUUUGAUUCUAUGGUGUAAUGUAUUUUUCAAAAUUAUUUGAGAUGAUAUUAGAAUUUUAUUGAUUAGUUUAAAUUUUAUUAUUUUAUUUUAAUUAAUAAAAAUUAAAUAUAGAUAAUAUAAUCCUAUGUAAAUUUCAAGUUCAAAUGGCUUUCAUUUGAAGGUAUAUGUUAAAAAAUUUUCUUUUAUUUUUAUAUUUUGACUCUAAAAUGACUAGACUUAACCCUUAAAGCUAUGAUUUACUCUACUAAAGUAGAUUGAUUUUAAUCAUUAGAUAAACCAAUGGAGCUUAUCUUAGAUAAGGUGUAUUAAAAGCGAUACGUCCUUCUUAUACACAAUUAGUUCCCAUAUCCAGACUUUAGAACUAGUUAGAGUUCUUAAUGAUCAAAAUAUUAGGUGGCAACUUCAUCUCUUUUUUUUACUAAUAAAAAAUAAUUUUUUUUUUUCCAUCUAUUACCAGAAGAUCCUGGUUCAGGAGGAUAUUCUCUAUAAUGCCAUACACGUGUGACAAAAAUGAUAAAAACUUUUUUCACUUAUACCAUUGAAUUUAAAACCAAUUAAGAAAUUUAUAAUAUAAUAUCAGAGCAUUAAAAAAAUUAAAAUUGUUUAGUCCUCUAAUGUGGACUUAGAGUUGUUUUACUAUAGGUUACAAUAGUGAAUUGAUGAUCUUAUCCUUCACAACAAAGAAAAAUUAUAUUUUCUAUAAGGUUCAAUUAUCAUUAUCAUAUUGAUUGGAAACACAUUGGUCUUUUUAUAUUUCAGAUGCAUUGUGAAAUUAUUUAAAUAUCCUUAAAAGUAAAAAUAUAAAGUUGGGUACAUGGGCUUUUUGGUUUUUUUAACAAUUUGAUUGCACGGUGUAAUGAUUAAAUUAUUCUUAAAAACAAAAUACUAGCAUCCAGGGGCACAUUUGUAUUUUUCUAAAGGUUUUUAGUUAUAAUCAAUUAAAAUGAGGGACAAUUCAGUUUUUCUACACAUAUGAAUAUAAUUAAAAAAUUAAAAGCAGCUAGUGCGUGUUAUACAUACACUAGCGAGUAGAGGCACUUUGUUCUUUUGAUUGCUAUUUUUUUUUAUCAUUUUUUUAUUUUAUUUUCAGUUUCAUUCCUCAUUGUUUUAUUUCAUUUAGUUUUUAUACUAGAUUUAGUCAUUUAUUCUUUUGAUUGAUAUUUGGUUUCAUUUUAAAUUUUGGAUGAUUGAAAAUUUUGCUUCGUGAUUUUUUUGGGUUCGUCUACUAUAAGUUAACCUGGUCUCAUGUUCUGAGUCAUGGGUUUUAAAGAUUAGCACGAUUUGACUUUAUUUUUUUUAGGUUUUUUAUAAAUUAUUUUUAUUUUUAUUAUUUAACAUUAGGUUAGUGGGCUUUCAACUUUGUAAUUUUUGUCACUUUCCUUUCUAUAUACAAAUCUCAGGUUGUAGGUUAGUUGAGUUAACUAGGGUGAACUCAAGUUUUUUCAUCAAUUUUUUUAGUUUUGCCUUUCAUUGUAUUUUUUUAAUUUCUUUUAUACGAGGUUAUCCCAACCUCACAAUCAGACCAUGAAUUUGACAUGCUGACUCGAGUCAGGUUAUUUAAUCUCUUUUAAAAUUGAUUUUUUUUAAUUUAUCCUUCAACAUUUGAUUUUUUUUUAUAAUUGAGCUUUAGAUUUUUUUAAAAUUUUUAUGAGGUUAUCAUGUUUUCAUUUAAUUUUUAUUCUGUUAUCAAAUAAGAUCGUUGAGAUCUUUUAAAAAUAUUUAUCGAGGAUAUUUCCAAAACAUUGACAAAAUUUUAUUUUUUUUUAUUAUUCAUUAUCAAUUUUUUAACUUUUUUUUUUAUUGACUUUUUUAUAUAAUUAUAUUAUUAAAUUAAACGAGAUUAUUGAAUGAAUGAUCAUGAUCCAGGUCCUAAAUUUCUGUUGUUGCUUUAGAAACACCAUCAUCAUGUAGGCAUUUAUUAUAUAUAUAUAUAUAGCACAUUGUCGUAACAAUGGAGAAUGACAAUCAAUUUUAAUUCAUAAAUCCUCUUGCUAUGCCUGAGGUGGAUAGAUAUUCCAACUAUUUUGAUUAAAAAUGUUUGAAUAAAAUUUUCUUGCUACCACUCCACACGUGACAUUCUCUCGUGUGGCUAUUAAUAAUUGUUUCAUAACUUUUAGUUAAUGAAACCUUUUAUUUUAUCGUCAACCUGGUUCAUGAUUGUAUUUUUCUUAACAGUUAAUAAUUUUGAAUCCUAAAAUAAUUAAGAAAUAGAAAAAAAAAUCUCAAAAUAUUUUAAGAGCCACACAUACAUGUGUAUGUGUUAUUGUUGCCCGUUAUGUAAACAAAUCUUUUAACUUUGGGUUUCAAUUUUAAGGAUAAACUGCAAAAAAAAAUAAAAAAUUAUAGAUACCUUGAAAAUUUUAAUCUCUAUGCUCUGAUUAUUAAAAUAAAUAAAUCAUAACAUUGCAUUAUUGGAAAAGAAAUUAAAAUAUUUUUUAACCUAUUGAAUUGAUUAAAAGUUAGAUGAUGAAAAAAAUUAUUUUCAUAAAAAUUGCUUGAAUAAUAGAUACAUUAAUUCGUUUCAUUAACCAUAGAUAAACUGAACUUCAUUUUUUCCUUCUUUCUUUGAACAUCAAACUUCAUAUUAGAAAUAUAUAGCUCACAAUAUUGUGAGCUACUCAAAACUUUUCCGAGUGAUGCUAAUUCAAAAUACCUGGGACUAAAUUAUACUCAUUGAAGUACUUUCCAAUUGAAUUGAUAGCGUGUUUGAGAGUAUAGUUGUAAUUGUUUUUUAAAGUGUUUUUCAUUAAUAAAUAUAUCAAAUAAUAUUUUUUUUAUUUUUUAAAAAUUAUUGUUAACAUCAGCACAUCAAAAUGAUCUGAAAACAUCAAAAAUAUUAAUUUAAAACAAAAAAAAAUUAAAUUUUUUCAAACUUUUCACAAUAGUGAGCCUUAAAGCUUGCCAUAUAAACAAGUCAAGUUCGAGCUUAACUGAGCUUGACUCAUCAAAGCUGAUGAGUCGAUGCAAUCGGAUUUAUAGACGGCAAGCUAGUUUAAAAGCUUGUAAAUAAAUUCAUUUGUAUGUUUGUGAAAAAUGGAAAGAAAAAUCAAACUCAAUGCUUUUGUAAAAUAAAUUUUAGUAAUACAUUUAGCAAGUGUUAUACUUUAAAAAUCAUAAAUUUAUUUUGUAUAAAAACUCGAGAAAUACACUAAGUUUAUAUAAACUUUUAUGAUUUCACAAUUGUACUAUAGCUUUUGCUGAAAAAAUAAGUAGAGUUUUCUAAUGAAAUUGGAUUAGAAGUAAAGAAUUAAGAUCAAUUGAAAUAUGAAUUUAAAUAUUUAUGCUAAGUAUUUAUUUAAUUUAUUUAGUUGAAACAUACUCUUAAUAUGUCAUGAAAUAAUGAUUGAAAAUAAACAAGUUUCAAAUAUUUAUAUAUUUUAUUAAAUUCAAUUUCUAAUUAUAUUCUAAAAAAUAAGAAUUCACAUAUUUUGUAGUUAGGAUACCAAAAUUUAAAUCUAACUCGGUUAUAAUUUUUUUAAACUAUUUAGCUAAGAUGAGUCCUAAUUGAUAGAUGAAACAAUUUUUGCAAUGUUGUUGCACACAUUUAUUAAUCAACCAAGCUGUACAUAUAGGUUUAAGAGAAGCUAAACAACACCUAAAUACAAGGAAGGAUAAGAGGAAGACUCCUAGUUUUAAGGAAGUUUGAAUUGUUGCUGAAUACAAGGAAGUUUAAAGAUGAAUGAUUUGAUCUUCAUUUUGAUAAUGUUGAUCUUCAUUCUGAUAAACCCCCUCAAGAUAGGCCACGGCUAGAGAGGCUAAUCUUGCCACGUAAAUUUUGAAAUUGCCAGAUUUCCAAGAAAUAGGAGUGGUGCCAAGAAAUAUAAUGUAGCCACCAGUAGAUUUUCGAUCAUCAAUAUUGCCGGCCCAAUCGGUAUAAGUAAAACCAUGAAGAGAUAAAGCAGAGUCACGAGUAAGGUGGAGUCCAAAGGAGGAUAUACCUUUUAGGUAUCGCAUGAUACGCUUAACAACGGCCUAGUGGCCUUUGGUAGGAGCAUGCAUAAACUGACAUACCUUGUUCACAGCAUAACAUAUAUCAAGUUGAGUAAAGAUAAGAUAUUGAAGAGUACUAACAAUUUGGCUGAAGCGAGUGGCAUCUGAAAACAACUUAGUAGACUGCAAAUUAAGCUUGGAAACAGAUGUUGAUGUAUCAACAGGUUUACACGAUGACAUACCAGCACGAUUAAGAAUAUCAAGAACAUACUUGUGUUGACUAAGCAUAAGACCCAUACUGGUGGGAGCAACUUCAAUCCCUAAAAAAUAACAUGCAUGACCUAAGUCACAAAGUUUAAACUCUGAACUCAGCAAGGUAAUGAGGUGAUGAAUCAAUUUAGAGUUAUUACCAAUAAUUAAGAUGUCAUCCAUAUAGACAAGUAACAGAUAUCAUGAGUCCCAUUUAGAAUAAAUAGAGAGGUAUCAACCUUUGAAGCCUGAAAACCAAUAGUCAAGAGGAAAUCACUUAGUCGCAUGUACCAGGUCCGCGAUGCUUGUUUUGAACCAUAAAGAGAUUUGUGAAAGCGACAAACAUGAGUGGACAAAGUAGUGUUGACAAAGUUUGGGGGUUGCUGCAUGUAAACAACCUUACGAAGUGAGCCAUUGAGGAAGGCAUUGUGAACAUCAAGUUACUGAAUCUGCCAUCUUUUUCAGACUGUAAUUGUAAGAACUAACCAAACAGUAGUCGGUUUAACAACUGGACUAAAGGUUUCUGAAUAAUCUAUACCUUCCUCUUGGGUGAACCCUCGCGCAACCAAACGAGUCUUGUACCGGUCAAUGGCCCCAUCAGCAUUGGCAUUGGCAUGUAAGGCUGCAAUUUCAUCCUUCAUGGCAGUAUGCCAACGCAAGUACUGGUCAACUUCCUUAAAACUCAAAGGCUCAAGAGCAGAAGGGGACAUUACCUGUGAAGCCAAAAUUAGCGGAGAGGAAGUCGAAACAAAGAUGAUGUUGGUAGUCUUUGACUGUCAAGGACGUAACACCAUAGGAUGUUGCCGAAUGGGUGGCGGAGAAAAAGACGGAUCAGUGGAGGUCAGCUAUGGAAGAGAGUAUGUGGAAAGAUCCACACAUAAGUCUAAAUCAUAAAGAGACUGAGGAGAGUGCUCAGAUGGAGAAGACAAUGCUAAUGACGAGGCUAAAGAGGUUGCAGCACAGGGCGAGUAUGCCAACACAAGUACUGGUCAGCUUCCUUAAAACUCAAAGGCUCAAGAGCAGAAGGGGACAUUACCCAUGAAGCCGAAACUAGCGAAGAGGAAGAAAAAACAAAGAUGAUGUUGGCAGUCUUUGGCUGUCGAGGACGCAACACCAUGAGAUGCUGCUGAAUGGGUGGCAGAGCAGAAGGCGGAUCAGUGGAGGUUAGCCGUGGAAGGAAUUAUGUGGAAAGAUCCACACAUAAGUCUAAAUCAGGCAGAGACUGAGUAGAGUGCCCAAAUGGAGAAGACAAUGUUGAUGAUGAGGCUGGAGAGGCUACAACAAAGAGUGAAUCUGAUAAAGAUAAAGCGGACACCGUAAAAUCUGAACUUACAAGAUGAUCAAGAGACAUAGAUGAAGAUGAUGGUGAGGGGACCGAUAAGUUAGUGGGAAGGAAAGGUGGGGCUAAGAUUGGUUGAGAUGGAAAAAUAGUGAGGGGGGUAGGUGACAGGCGGAGAGGAAGAUGGGGACGGGAGGACAAACUCAAUGAAGGGAAAACUUGUUCAUGAAAUCAGACGUGAUGGGAAAUGUAGAUGCGGUCAAACAACAAAUCAAGACAACGAUAGCCUAGAUGAGACGAACUAUAGCCUAAGAAUACACAUGGAGUGGAGCGAUAGUCUAGCUUAUGAGCAUUGUAAGGAUGAAGGAAAGGAAAGCAGAGACAUUCAAAAGUACAUAAAAAAGAAUAAUUAGGUGUCUGAUGAAACAAACAAUCCAAGGGAGAUUUGUUGCUUAAAAUCGAGGUUUCAAACAUAAUUCCAGAAUUUUAGAGAUGUCUUACAUUGGCAUAAAAGAGUAAGACUGGUUUCAACAAUAUAAUGAUGAUGACGCUCAACGACACCAUUCUGUUCAUGAGUAUGUGGACAUAUGAGAGGAUGGUGAAUACCGAUGGUUUUAAAAAGGAAUUUAAUUUAUGAUAUUCACCACCUAGUCAAUUUGAACAGUUUUGAUUUUACGAGAGAACUGCUGUUCAAUAAGCAUUUGAAAUUGUUGAAACACAUUGAAUACAUCUGAUUUGAUGGCAAUAGGAUAAACCAAAUAAAUUUUGUAUGUGCAUCUAUAAAUAUGACAAAAUAACAAAAAAAUCAUACGAUAGCAUAGGGGCAAGGCCCAAAACAUCACUAAAGACAAGUUCAAGAGGAAUAUAUGUUUUAUAGUUUGUAGGUCCUAAUGACAAACAAGAGGAUUUUCCAAAUAGACAAGCUUGACAUUGAAAAUUAAGAUGAUGAGAGGUAGAAACAACCUUUUUAUUGGAAGCUAAGAGACUCAGAAUACGGGAACUGGGGUGACUAAGGUGAUGAUGCCAAAUAUCGGUAGAAGUGGCCAUGCUAAUGGACAAAAAAGCUUGCGGUAGAGAUGUGAUAGAAGACUCAGAAAGGACAUAGAGGUCGUCUUUACUCCAACCAGAAAGAAGGACUUCCUUGGUAAUGAGAUCCUUAACGUAAAAAACAGAAGAGUGAAACUUAAAAAAGAUAUAAUUUUCACGAUAAAAUUAUUGAACAUAUAAUAAUUUUUUUUAAUGUGGGGAACAUGUAAUAUGUUGGACAAGGUGAAGACUCGUUUUGGUGUAUGUAGGAGAUUAUGUACGGUAUUAGAUAUAACAAGUCCCUUACCAUCACCAACAUGCAAUUGAUCAUUACCAUGAUAAGGUUCUGUGUGUGUCAUACCAGUAAUGUUCGAAGUAACGUGGUGAUUCACACUUGUGUCAGGAAACCAAGAGGCAUAAUCCUGAGCUGAUAUAUUAUUAAAGGAGAGGUUGGUCGAGGUGUGAUUUCCAUGAUGAAUAAGUUGAGAACACUGCUGUGCGGAAUGGCCAUAGAUGUGGCAGAGCUGGCAUUUUAUUUGCUGUAGUGGCUACUGAUUUAUUGCUGCACCACAGUGUGGAUGGUUAUGCCACUGUCCAUUGUGGCUGCGGGGCUGCUGCCAAGGAGAACCACCACCAGCAUCAUGAAAGAACUGACCGUAACUUAAAACACGUCUUGCGACAAGACGCGGACAUUCCCUAUGCUGCGGUUAUCUUGGGAUUGGCUAGGUUUCAAAGGCAGGACUUCGUUCGAAGAAGGAACUGAUGCCACUAACCACUCUUUUGUCCUCUGCCUUGAUGAGCCAUGAAACCACUGCUAUUUGACCCAGAAAAACCACGCUGGGCAGUAUAUACUAAGGGGGCCUGCGUAAGGGUGGGCAGCAGUGGUGCAGUAGGUAGACUAGAGGAUACCAAGCUGCAAUGUAUGAAUUCAUGAGUAAACAGGUGAUUAUGAAGCUCAGAGUACGACAGAGGAUCAAGUUUGGUUGACAGACUUGUAACCAAAUCAUGAAAUUCACCGUGAAGUCCCGAAACACAUAUAAGUUAAAAUUGGUGAGAUAAAUAGGUCUGCCAGUUGCAACCAAUUCAUCAAAUAAACCUUUUGCGCGUUGCAAGUAGAGAGUGACAGUAUCAUCACCUUGUCAAAGAUCCUGAAAAGAGCCAUACAAUUGCAUGAUCCGAGAGUUGGAUGGAGAUGCAAGAGCAAGAGCAAGUUCAAGGGUGCUCCAAACACUGACAAAGGUUGGAUAAUCAACCAUGAGAUGAAGAACUUCAACCGAAAAAGAGGACAACAGAGCACUAAGGAUGAGCUGGUCUUACUGUUUCUAAGUCAAGAACGCUUGGCAGGGUCCAAAAUUGAAGGUAGUAGAGACAACAUAAGCUGUAAUGGAUAAAUUAUAUGAAGAGGGGCAUGGAGUGAAGCCAUCAACAAACAAGAAAACUCUUUGACCAAUCAAAUACGGCUUCAUCUGCAGACGCCAAAAAAAAAUUGUUAUUUGUAAGUUUGAGAUUAAUAACCUGCUGGGUGUUGGAAAGGGGAAUAAAAACUGCUGUUGCAGCAGAUGGAGCCAUGGUUGUGUUGGUUGCUGUGGUGAGUCCAAGGACAGGGGAGGAAGAAUUUGGAGAAGAUGAGUUGACAUUAAUGCCUGCAGCAGUACUAAUUGUAUGAUCCAUGACGAUGACAGAUGGAUAUCCUACGAAGCCUUUGAUAGAGAGGAGAAGGCACAACAAUGUAGCAAACAAAAUUUGACAGUAGAGAAAUAACAAAUCUGCAGCAAAAAAAAAAGGAAGAGCAAAAGAUGCAGCAGAGAACAAAGGAGCAGGGAUUGUGGUAGGAAGAAAAAUCUGCAACAGAAAAUACAAGAACUGAUUUAAGAUAGAGAGGCUCUGAUACUAAGUUAAAAGGAGAGAUUUGUAAUAAUUUAAUGAGUGCCAUAACUCCUCUGCUAUUUAUAUAAGUAAGGCAUUAUACAUAUGUUAUGGUGUAACUUAUUAUACAUAAUAAAACUAUACAAGAGGAAACAUAAUAUUUUCUAUUUUACAGAACAUCCCAUAAUAAUGCUUUUGUAAAAUAAAUUUUAGUAAUAAAUUUAGCAAGUGUUAUACUUUAAAAAUCAUAAAUUUAUUUUGUUUAAAAACUCGAGAAAUACACUAAGUUUAUAUAAACUUUUAUGAUUUCACAAUUGUACUACAGCUUUUGCUGAAAACAAUAAGUAGAGUUUUCUAAUGAAAUUGGAUAAGAAGUAUAUAGAAUUAAGAUCAAUGGAAAUAUGAAUAUAAAUAUUUGCUUAAUAUAUGUUAUUUAUUUAUUUAAUUUAUUUAGUUGAAAUAUACUCUUAAUAUGUCAUGAAAUAAUGAUUGAAAAUAAACAAGUUUCAAAUAUUUAUAUAUUUUAUUAAAUUCAAUUUCUAAUUAUAUUCUAAAAAAAUAAGAAUUCACAUAUUUUGUAGUAAGGAUACCAAAGUUUAAAUCUAACUCGCUUAUAAUUUUUUUUUAAACUAUUUAAUUACGAUGAGUCCAAAUGAGUUGAACCAAAGCCUAAUAAAUUUUGAAUAAAUUGAAUUUAAAUUAGCAUAAACACUAUUCUAACCUGAAACUUGUUAAUUAAAAUUGAACAGGUCAAGUUCGAAUACACUAAAAAAAACCCCCUAAAAGGUGUGCUUUUUUCAUCGUGGAUAGAUGUAUUAUAACAUGUGAUAGGGAUUUUAGGCUGUAAUGUUUUUUUUUUCCUUUUGUUUUACACUUUGAUCAUCAAAUUUUUUUCUUUCAAAUUUAUCCUUAUAAGUUGUGUUGUUUUAGAAUUGAAAUUUAUAAUUUUUUUUUAUAAUUACUGUGGUGUCAAUUUUUUUUUCUAAUAUCAAGUUGAUGCUAAAAUUUAUAAAAAGAAACUUGGUUUUAGUGACUAUGAAAAUAUACAAAUAGUGGAUCAAAUUUAAAAAUGAGGCAAACAAUGAUUUGUUUUUAAGCAUAGUUUUGAAAUUGGACUCGGGAAUCUGUCGAUCCGGGGCUAGAACCAGGCCGGGUUUAAAAAAAAAUAGGAUAAGGAAAAACCUGGUAUAACCUGUCAAGAUCCAAUUUCAAUUAUUGACUUUUUUUUUUAAUUAAAAUAACGUCGUUUUGAUUUAAAAAAUAAAAUUGACCCAACUGACUCGAUAACCUAAUCAAAACCUGGUAACCCGGUCCAAACCCAAAACUUAAAUUUUAGACCGGGCUGGAUCCAAAAACUAUGUUUUUAAUGAUAUGUCUAUUCAAUACUUUUUCGGCAUUUUUUGCCUUAGGAGUUAGGCAAAUUUUGUAUUGGUCUCUAGUUUGCUACUGUUUUUUUUUUUUGCUCAAAAUUUCAUUUCAGUCAUUUUUUAUACAUAAGUUUGAGGAAAACUGAAAACAAAUUAUUAAAAAAUACAAAGAUAAAAAGUUAUUGGCUUAUUAUAUUCUUAACAUAAAAAAAAAUCAAUUUUAGUAUAACUAUAGUUUUUUCAAUAAGAGAGGUUUUAUCUGAGUUGAGAAAGAAUUAUUUUCUGAUUUGAUUUUAUAUUUUUAGAUAAAUUUAGAGAUAAUUUAAAUUGAUAUAUUUAUUUAUUAAUAUUAUAAUAAUAUUUAUUAUAUAGUUUUAGAUAAAAAUAAAUUAAAAAUCUAUUUUAGAUAAAAAAAACAUAAUCCAAUUUUUCAGCCGCCUUUCUAAUAGCCAUAAACUAGAAGACAAAUGACGUCUUUAUUUUUAAAACAGGGUUUCCUAGAUAAAAUAAAUAAAUAAAAGGCGAGGCGGAAACUAGUACUUUUCUUUUAUUAGACUAGGGUUGGUGGUCUUUUAUUAGAUUAGGGGUGGUAGGGCCACCCAACCCUAGGUGUUUAAUUUUUUUAAAAAACUUUUAUCCUUCUAUUUUUUUUUGUUACAUUUAUAUUACAUAAAUUAUUUAAAUUUAGUUUACAUGUCGAUUAAACAAGCAUUCAAUUUUAAUAGAUAUUAAUUAAGAUAAAUUAUAUUUUUAAUAAAAUAUCAUUUAAUUUUUACUUAAUUUUUUAAUAACACUAAUAUUUUUUUAUAUUAGUAGACAUUUUUUUUAUCAACUUUAUAUAAUAUGUUUUUUUCUUGAAUUUUAUUAAAUUAUUUUCCUGUAAUUGUUUAUAUUUAUUAUCAUUUAAUUAAAUAAAAAAUUAAUUAAUUUUUUUUUUGUUCCAUUCAACAGCAAAGUGUGAGUUAAUGGCUAGUUAAAAGCUUCAAAUAAUUGUUUUUUUUUUUUUUUACGAUGAAGUUGUGAAAUAUUUCACAUAAACAAUGAGCUUUUCUUGAGUUUUGAUCCUACAUCAAGUCAUGAGCUUGCUUGUAAACUUUGUAUUUGGACUUAGUAGCUAGUACUCUUGAAAAAAUAAUUAUCUUAUGGAAAAAGGGAUUCUUUGAUGUUUCAAUCAGUAAAUGCAUGAGAAAAAAAAAAUAUUGCAAUAAUCUAGAGAUAUGCGUUGGAGACGGUAGAUUUUUGUGAUACUAAGAGCGUGUUUGAUAAUAUAAUAAUGACUGUUUUUCAAAUAACUUUUCGUGUUGAAAUACAUAUCAAUAAUAUUUUUUUUAUUUUUUAAAAAUUAUUUUUGACAUUAGCACAUCAAAACGAUCCAAAAAGUACAAAUCAUAUUAAAUUUUAGCAAAAAAAAAAAACUUUUAAAUUUUUGGAAACGCGGUUUAAACGGCGCUCCCAAACGCUACCUAAAGCGAAAAGGAUAGGUCAGUGACAAAAAAAUAAUAUAUAUUUUUUAAAAUUUAAUGUAGAUUAAUGUGGAUGUUCGGACAGCUUGCAUGUAUUUUGAUUAAUUUAAUAAAUUUUGAAAUUAAUGAUCAUAUAAGUCUUGAAUAAUUCUGAAAUUUAUAAAAUUUAAAUUAAUAAUUUUUUAAAAAUAAAUAUAAAAUCUAACGGGCGAGUUAUAUAUAUAUUUUUAAAAAAAUACAAUACUUUUUGUACAGUAAAGAGAAGAGAGGGUGAGUCGAGGCCAUGUAAGAAGAUUAGUGGCCACAAAAUGGCCAUAAAAAGGUCCAGAUCCACCUGGUUCUUGGCACCAACGACUCUACAAAGUGAGUGGCUGUUUGGGAUCAUUUAUUUAUUUAUUUUUUAAAACUCUUUUCCUCUAAUGCUUGUCAGAUGGACUGCUUCUUCAUUUCACUCGCCCAUUUAGAAUUGACUUUUAUUCCACUUCGCUUAGUCCUCAGCCCAAACAAAUUGAUAAGCACCGUCACGAUUAUUUAUUCCUUAUUUUAAUGUUUCGAUGCCGUCUUAAAUCUUGAUAUCGUCUACCGAUAUAUAUUAGUGCCAGCUUUCAAGAUGAACAAAAAUAAAAAUAAAUAAAUAAAUCAUCUCUGGUUCUCUGCCAUGGCAACACCACCCACCCCACUGGUGUUCAAGGUGUCUAGACGGGAACCAGUUCUGAUCACCCCUUCUGAGCCAACGCCACAUGAACUCAAACCUCUUUCAGACAUAGAUGACCAAGAUGGUCUCAGAGUCCAAGUUCCAGUCAUUUAUUUUUACCCUUACGAUCCUUCAAUGCAGAGGAGGGAUCCUGUUGAGGUCAUUAAGGAAGCACUUGCUAAAACACUGGUGUUCUACUAUCCAUUUGCUGGUAGGCUUAGAGAAGGGCCUAAGCGUAAGUUCUUGGUGGAGUGCACAGGUGAGGGUAUUUUGUUUAUUGAGGCUGAUGCUGAUGUUACGCUCGAGCAGUUUGGUGAUGCGCUCUAUCCUCCAAUUCCUUGCCUGGAGGAGCUCCUCUUUGACGUGCCUGGCUCCGGCGGGAUGAUUAACUGCCCUCUGCUGCUUAUUCAGGUUUGUCUCCUGAGUGUGUUUCUUGCUUAGGGAUCAUCGAUUCUAUCUUAGUUUACAAAGCAGGAUCAUCCUUCUCUGUUUUUUUUACACAAAAUUAGAGUACAACUCAUGAAACAACACCAGCCAGCCAAAUUUAACUGUGUUUCUCAAGUGUGGACAAGUUAAAAUGGAUGUAGAAGAACAGUACGAGUAGUAAAACAAGCAGCAAAAGAAGAAGAUUUGAAAGAGAGAAUAAUCCUAUCCCAAAGAAGAGUCCAAGAUGUUUAUCAAGCAAUGCCAGCCAUAAUUGUUUGGUAGAAUAUUGGAAACUUAUCCUUCAAUUCAGUACUUACUGUUUGCAAGAAAAGGAUUUAAUAUUUCUCUAUUGUUAAAUUUGGUCCACUAGCUAUAUUAUCUUAAAUAAAUAAAAUUAUAUUUAAUUUUAUGAAAUCGAGCAUCAAACAAGAAUCCAAUUUGUUUCUCGAUGAUACUACGAGUAGCCAAUAUCAAAACAAAUAACAAAUCACAAUCUCAAACUAAUCAAAUAGAAAACAAAAUUGAUGAUUGAAAUGAAAAAAUAAAUUAAUGUCCUUGUGUAACCUUUUUCUAAUUUUUUUUUUUUUCAAAGGGAAGUUUACAUGUAUCCAUUAUAUAUUUCCACUAGAAUAAUGUGCGGGGAAGGGGAGUUCUGCAUAUAAUUGAAUGAUAGACUACAGAGCAUCUGGAAGAGGGUGUUUUUUUUUUAAUCUUCGUUUGCAUAAUGAAAAGCAAGUAAUAGCAUUUGAUAUAGGUUUACAGAUAUUCUUUUCUAAUCAUAGCGAAGAAAUUCAUAAUGUACCGACAGAACCGAUUGUUGAACAUAGAUUAACUACAUGGAUGCAGCGCUUGAGGUUGAAUAUUAUCGCAGUUAAAACAGAUCAACAAGUUCCAUGAGUUGAUUAAACUAACAGAUGGUUUGUCUGUAUAAAACGACAGGUGACGCGUCUCAAGUGCGGCGGAAUUGUCUUUGCCAUCCGUCUGAACCACACCAUGAGUGACGGUACUGGCCUAAACCAAUUUUUGUCAGCCAUGUGUGAGAUGGUGCAUGGAGCACAGACUCCUUCUAUCCAACCAGUUUGGGAAAGGGACGUUUUAAAUGCAAGGAACCCACCUCAGGUAACCUGCUUACACCACGAGUAUGAUCAACUGGUUGAUGACACCACUGACAACGUUCCGCUUACAAAGAAGACCCAUCGUUCAUUCUUUUUUGGAGCUGCUAACAUAUCUGCUAUUCGUGGCUUUGCCUCACUACACCUUCGCCAUUGCUCCACGUUUGAUGUAUUGACUGCGUUUUUGUGGAGGUGUCGAACCAAACCCAAAUGAUGAGAUGCGGAUACUAUGCAUUGUCAAUGCUCGCAAUAGAUUUAACCCUCCGUUACCUAGAGGUUAUUAUGGAAAUUGCAUAGCAUACUCAGUGGCGAUGGCAACAGCGGGAGAAAUCUCACGAAAUUCUUUAGGCUUUACGUUGGAAUUAGUCAGGAAGGCCAAGGCCAAUGUGAAUGAAGAGUACAUGCGAUC